CUGCGCCACCGCGACGGGGCGCAGGCCGUACYCCCCCCCUCCCCAAUCCGCCGUGUCGGGGCGCAGGCCGCCCCCCCACACACACACGUAUCCCACGUUGUCAGGGUGCAGGCCACCCCCUCCACAUCCCCUGCUGUCGGGGCGCGCAGCCAUCCUGCACCCCCACGCCGCCAGGUGACAGGGUGCACGGGCACCCCCGCCCGUGGGUCCCCUGGUGUCACGGUGCACGGGCACGCACAGACGCACACACUCUGGUGUCGGGGUGCACAGCCACCCCCAGGCACAUAUCCCCUGGUGACAUGGUGCACAGCCACCCCCAGGCACAUAUCCCCUGGUGUCACGGUGCACGGGCACGCACAGACACAAGCGCUCUGGUUUCAGGAUGCACAGCCACCCCACACAUUCCCUGCUGUUGGGGUGUGCGGCCAUCCUGCACCCACAUAUCCCCCUGCUGUCAGGGUGUGCAGCUGUUCUGCAUCCCUACCCUGCCCUGCACCGCAUAUCCCCUGGUGUCGGGGUGCAUGGCCACACACACACACCAGCACCCCCUGGUGUCAGGGUGUGCACCCACAGCAUCAGGUUGCUCGGCCGCCCUGCACCCCUGCCCCAUGGAGCGACGAGAGGCACAGCCAUUCCUCACUCAUGUAUCCCUCAGGGCUAGGCGUAUGGCCGCACACACCAACACCCCUCUGGUUUCAGGGUGCACAGUUGCACAUACACCAUUUGUCAAGUCACAGCACCCUUACGCUUGUGUGUAAAGGUGUGGCGUGUGUGUUUCUUGGGUGUUGGGGUGCAGUCCUGCACAUGUGCACACCCACAUAUGCAUCCCUGGUGUUGGGGUACAGGCACUCGCCUGCAGCCUCUGCAUGUCAGGCUGCACAUCUAUAUAUACACACUUCCUUCAGGUGUCGGUGUGUGUGUGCACAUGCAUGCACCCCCCAGGUGUCAGGGCACACACAGCCACACGUGUGUGAAGAGUCAGACACAUGCACACCUCUUGGGUGGCAAGGGCGUAGACACACGCAUCCACAACUCCCAAGUGUCUGGGCAUGGAUAUAUACGGAUGCCCUUGGGUAUAGGGGAAGCAGACACAUGUUAUGUUCCUUGGGUGCUGGAAGCACAGGAGUGCCCAAGCUGGGAUGGAGCUACACCCAUUUUUCCUCCUCCUUUUAA
Molecule: long non-coding RNA, 1173 nt
Filed under: Apteryx rowi (Okarito brown kiwi)
Lineage: Eukaryota; Metazoa; Chordata; Aves; Apterygiformes; Apterygidae
Description: lncRNA (ENSARWG00000010958.1)
Source: RNAcentral